This is a non-coding RNA of Jatropha curcas, 609 nucleotides long. NCBI's taxonomy places the organism in Eukaryota, Viridiplantae, Streptophyta, Magnoliopsida, Malpighiales, Euphorbiaceae. The record is from RefSeq and is a predicted model, not a curated record.
UGGCCUAGAAAACUCUAGAGCUACUCCUUUUUCUUUUCUUUUUUUUUUCUCUCUUUUCGCGCACACAAGGAGCAGCGCCGCUCCUCCCUCUCCUUCUCAUUUUUCGACCACCUGAGCUCCUCGCCGCCAUCUCCUCCUCCUCUUUCUUCUUCCUUUUCUUCUUCUUCUUCUUUCUUUUCUUUUCUUUCUUUUCCUUUCUUUUCCUUUCUUUCCUGCGUCGCGUUCCAGCAAGCUUUGGAGCAGCAGAAACGCGAGCAACCACGUCGCGCCACCUCCACAGACGAGCGGAUCCUCGUUGCGCCGGCCAGCUGCGUCGCGCCACCAGGCCGUCGCGUCACGCAGCAGCGCGCCCACUGCCAAAUCGAGCAGCGCCACAGCACCAUCGCCGUCGAUCGCGCAAGCAGCCGCUGCCACUGUCGCUGCUCCAAUCGCCUCCGGUUGUCUCUCCGGCGAACAUCACCACUCUCUCCGCCUCUCUCCGCCACUGUCAGUGGGAUCCGGUUCAACAAGAAUUGUAUUUUGGGAUACUUAUAAAGUUUCGGACUGUGAAGACAAAGGCUGGAAGCGCGCAAUAAGAAAGACAGUCCUUUUAAGGACAACAAAAACUGU